This 517-nucleotide ribosomal RNA is filed under the name uncultured bacterium. Its description in RNAcentral is "bacterial SSU rRNA". It matches the Rfam family "Bacterial small subunit ribosomal RNA", at positions 992 to 1509 of the family's 1533-position model. The record is from RNAcentral.
CGAACUUUCCAGAGAUGGAUUGGUGCCUUCGGGAACGCUGAGACAGGUGCUGCAUGGCUGUCGUCAGCUCGUGUUGUGAAAUGUUGGGUUAAGUCCCGCAACGAGCGCAACCCUUAUCCUUUGUUGCCAGCGAUUCGGUCGGGAACUCAAAGGAGACUGCCGGUGAUAAACCGGAGGAAGGUGGGGAUGACGUCAAGUCAUCAUGGCCCUUACGAGUAGGGCUACACACGUGCUACAAUGGCGCAUACAAAGAGAAGCGACCUCGCGAGAGCAAGCGGACCUCAUAAAGUGCGUCGUAGUCCGGAUCGGAGUCUGCAACUCGACUCCGUGAAGUCGGAAUCGCUAGUAAUCGUGGAUCAGAAUGCCACGGUGAAUACGUUCCCGGGCCUUGUACACACCGCCCGUCACACCAUGGGAGUGGGUUGCAAAAGAAGUAGGUAGCUUAACCUUCGGGAGGGCGCUUACCACUUUGUGAUUCAUGACUGGGGUGAAGUCGUAACAAGGUAGGCGUAGCGAG